GACAGAGGGUGCAAACGUUGUUCGGAAUUACUGGGCGUAAAGCGUGUGUAGGCGGCCAUGCAAGUCGGAUGUGAAAGCCCUGGGCUCAACCCAGGAAGUGCACUCGAAACUGCGUGGCUUGAGUGUGGGAGAGGUGCGUGGAAUUCCCGGUGUAGCGGUGAAAUGCGUAGAUAUCAGGAGGAACACCGGCGGCGAAGGCGGCCCUCUGGAUCGUUGCUGACGCUGAGACGCGAAAGCGUGGGGAGCAAACAGG
Molecule: ribosomal RNA, 253 nt
Filed under: uncultured bacterium
Lineage: Bacteria
Description: partial 16S ribosomal RNA
Rfam family: Bacterial small subunit ribosomal RNA
Source: RNAcentral